GACGAACCGUGCGAACGUUAUUCGGAAUCACUGGGCUUAAAGGGUGCGUAGGUGGCUUUUCAAGUCCGCCGUCAAAUCCCAGGGCUCAACCCUGGACAGGCGGUGGAAACUGCCAAGCUGGAGUACGGUAGGGGCAGAGGGAAUUUCCGGUGGAGCGGUGAAAUGCGUAGAGAUCGGAAAGAACACCAACGGCGAAAGCACUCUGCUGGGCCGACACUGACACUGAGAGACGAAAGCUAGGGGAGCGAAUGGG
This 253-nucleotide ribosomal RNA is filed under the name uncultured bacterium. RNAcentral's name for it is "partial 16S ribosomal RNA". It matches the Rfam family "Bacterial small subunit ribosomal RNA", at positions 524 to 776 of the family's 1533-position model. The record is from RNAcentral.